Long non-coding RNA from Camelina sativa (false flax), 829 nucleotides. RefSeq lists it as uncharacterized. The record is from RefSeq and is a predicted model, not a curated record. Lineage: Eukaryota; Viridiplantae; Streptophyta; Magnoliopsida; Brassicales; Brassicaceae.
UUCCAUCUCCAACACUAAAAUUUGCCACUUGCCAACCCCCUAAUCAAGAAGCAGUGUAAAGAACUCAAAACCAGUGGUUGUUCGAUAUGUGAAUGGCGAGAGAAAAAUAAAACGGUUGAAUCUCUCGAAGUUGUUCAUAACCUAUCAGCUUUGCUAUAAAUUGUUGCUCCAAUUUCCAAUAGAAGUCCCCAUCGUUGAAGCGUGCCAUGUUGAUGUAUUCUUAACUGAGUUUUACAACAAGAUGAAAAGAAAAAGAAAAAGACAUUUAUGAAAGGCAUAAAUGAAGAUGAAGAUGUUGAUGCAGUCGCUGCAUUAGUUCAUAGUACCACAAGAAGUAGUUCAACGAAGCAGAUAACAUGGAACUAAAAGAAGGUUAGCAGCUAAGGCGAUUAAUUUUUAAACCAUGAAGAUUAUGAAGAGUAUAAGCUUGGAGAAGAGUCUAGAAGCAUGAAGAGAUUCCUUUCUAGUAGAAAAAGAAACAUGAAGAAUAAUUUUCUAUUCUAAAAAAGAGGAAAUUUGCAAAGAGAUUUGACAAUUCCUAUUAGGAUUAUAAUAGGAAUUUAAUCUUGUAUGGCCACGACCUAUUGUGUAUAAAUAGGGGGCUAAGCCUUGUAGAGGUUAGCACAAAAGAGCAAUAGAAUUCUUAGAUAUUAAGUUUAUAUGGUUUCUUGUAGAAAAGCAUAACGCUUAAGGGGACUAAGGAGUUUUGUCUUGAGAAGUUCUUAGAUUGUGUAUAAAUCCAUAAACAUGAGAGAUUAGAUAAUUGAUUGAGUGAAACUUGUAAGUUUACUAAACAGAUUGUCUAAUAAAAAAGUUUUAUUUUGAAGAA